Long non-coding RNA from Tachysurus fulvidraco (yellow catfish), 6379 nucleotides. RefSeq lists it as uncharacterized. NCBI's taxonomy places the organism in Eukaryota, Metazoa, Chordata, Actinopteri, Siluriformes, Bagridae. The record is from RefSeq and is a predicted model, not a curated record. The transcript is spliced from 3 exons.
UUUGUUGAGUUACAGUUUUUUUUGGAUUGCUUAAGCACGAUUUUCAAAACAGGGCCCGUGUUUUCAAAACACUACACACAAUUAGCACAACCACACAUACAAUUAGCAAAACACUACAGAUCCCUUGCAUAAUUAAACACUCUUGUAAAAACUAUACACUUCUGUUUAAAAACCACACUUUGUUACCAUAUGAAACACACACGUUUCACAUUACUAUACUCUGUUUGCACGAGUUACACUCUGCUGUGAUAAACCUACAACACUUUUAGCACUUCUACUUCCCUAUGAUUAGAGUAGGCUACCAUCAAUAAAGUACAAAUAUAAUGUAAAUUCACCAAACACUACACAAGACCAAUGUUGCAGACUGAAGAAACUCAUUUAUUUGUCAACACGCCCAAAAUGUUCACAUGUACUGUAAGUUUACUGUAAAAAAUAAAAAAAAAAACUAGACAUUGUCUCUUCGCCUAGCUGGAUCUGGCCAGAGAAUUUCAUCAACAUCGCAGGCAAUGUUGUCAUUAGCAAGAAACCUUGGAAAGAAACUUCGUGAAUGACGAAUCCAUCCUUGCAUUGCUGCUACCUCCAUCUGGUCACAGGCCUCCUCCAUGGCUUGGAUGAGGGGUACCUCAGCCUGGAGACGGAGAUCAUAUACCUUCCACCGACUCCAUUCUGUGUAAUGGCUGCACAGAGUGUUAUAGUAUAUUACCCCCACGUUGCCCUGGGACAUUGACUAUAGCCCUGAGGCCAAAGAUGUUUCUUCCCCUCCUUCGUGUUCUCGUCAGGUUGAACCCAGCGUCAUCUACGUAUAUGAACUCAUGCUGGAUCUCCUCUCCAUCCAUUCGUAAAACUCUCUGAGGAACAAUGUCAUGCAAAAUUGUGUAGUUCAGUGUAGAUAUGAUGUUGAUAUGAUGAUAUUUUUACAAUACACUGUACCUAUUUUCCAGUCGAAAUGUUCUCAUCACACUUGCCACUGUGUAUCGGCUUAGAUUUGGCUGUACUCGCAGUCCAGCCUCCCUCAGCGUCAGGCCGUGGUUGACAACGUGGUCAACAAGUGUUGCGCGGAUCUCAUUUGUCACAUUCGGUCCUCUUUGAGCACCUUCUUGUCUUCCUCUUCCUCUACCUCUACCUCCAGCAUGUCCUCCAUCUCUUCCUCUUCCUCUGUUGAUUCCUCCUCUGUUGAUUCCUCUUCCUCCUCUUCCUCCUCCUUCUUGUUCUCCUCGUUCUCCUCCUCAUCUUACUCUUUCUCUGACUCUUUACAUUGUGCUUGAAGUCCUAUGAACUCACCUGCUGCUUUUUAUAUUCAAUUCAAGUUCAAUUCAAUUCAAGUUUAUUUGUAUAGCGCUUUUUACAAUAGAAAUUGUCUCAAAGCAGCUUUACAGAACAUAAACAUAGAGCAGAAGGUAAACAUAUAUUAUAGUGCUUAUACACCUGAUUGGUGUGCCUACAAUUAAGAAAACAAGUGUUUGCACACCUGAUGACUGUGUUGAACCGACUGGUUGGACGCUGCAGUAAUUUGACAGUCAGUGCUUUGGUAUUGCAAGGAAGUGACUUCAUGAUAGAUUUUUGUGUGUAAUGUAUGUUAAGUGUGUUUAGUGGUUUCCAAAUCACUGUGUGUAGAGUUUUGCAACAAGUGUGAGGUUGACAAUGUGCUUAUAGUUGUGCAAAUAUGGGCUGAUGUUUUGCCUCUUGAGUGUAAGGUUUUGCUAAUAGUGUACUACUGUUAAUUUUAGUGUGUAAGCAAUCCAAAAAAACUGUAAUUGUUGUUGUGCGACCUCCGGUGGCGACAUUAAGUAAUUAGUGGGUCAUUCGCCUUUAACCUGUGACCACACCCCUUCCUUCGGCAGAGAAGUGUAUCUCAUGCACAGAGGGGGUAGGUAAAAAUGUGCUCCGCGAAAUGCGAUUAUUUUUGUUACAUAAAACAUGUUUAUCUCCUAAAUAAUGUUAAAUUGAAAGCUCAGUGAUGUUGUGAAAUGAUAUGGUAGUUGAUUGUAUAUGACUAACUUCGUGAAGUUUAGACAUAAUUUGCUCACCAUGUGCGAUAGCAUGGCUGACGACAUCUUUUUCACUAGUAUGCAGAAAAUAAACACAACGCAUGAUUGAACGCAGUUCCUCGUGUCUGCCUGAUGAUUUGAGUGCCGUCGGAUAAGGAGCGUUACACAUACACUUUGUCCCCUUUCUACAUUAUUCCAGUCUUAAAAAAUAAAAAAACUCAUGAUACUUUUUCUGCCUCUGAUAGAGGCUGUGUGUAAUUUGUGAUGGAUAUUUGAAUUUAUAUUUUAUACUUUUAUAUAUUUUUAUACUUUUGUGGUUGUUUGAUGUUCAAUGUGCUUUUCGUGUUCUAUUCACCUUUGCCUGCCACUUGUCUGUAAUAUGUAUAGGAGGACUUUUAUUUUGACGUGUCUCUGCGAGUGCGGCAUGUUGGGUAACCAGGUAGCAACGAGCAUGGUGUAGUGUACACUGGGUGUAUGUUUGUGUUGCAUCCGCAUUGAUCCUUCUUCAAAAUGCUACAGAAGCACCGGUUGUGAGUUUAUCUUGAAUGGUUUCUCUAUUGCACAUAAUAUUAAAGUGUAUGUUUACAUUAAUCACUUUAUGAUUGGAGAUGUUUGCUGUUGCUGAUUUGUGCUGGCGUGCUGCAUUGGCAACUCAUUUAAUUUGAGAUAUCUGUUGUGUAGAUUUUGUCAGAAUCAGCUGCAGCAGCGAUGGAAAGUGAUGAUAGUCGUAGUAGAAAGAGCACACUCUCAUCACACGUGAUUUCAAGACGAACAAGGGUAUAUGUGGAACACCAGACCCUAGUGAGCUCCGAGUUUACCACUUUACCUCUGAAUUUGUCAUCCUGUUUAAAAGAAUCGACUCCAAAUUUGAUCAAAAGGUCUCAGAACGUGUGCGCUGAAGGUGACAGCGACCUUAAUGCAGUUCAAGAAUGGAGUCGAAUAAGUGAUGGUGAACAUCUGCAGAACACAAGACGUCCAGAUUAUCAAUACGCUCUACCUCAAUCCAUUACAAAUGCAGCAUCUAAAGUAUCUCCAGGCCAAAAUCGUGAUCCACAAGAGUGUACGGUCCAUUCAGAUGUGCAGCAUUCCUCUCAAAGCCAAGCAACGCCUAUGUUGGACAUUGCAAGAUUCUUAGCACGUAGAGAACUAGUUGCAACAGGGCUUACCAAGUUUGAUGACAAUCCAGAAAACUUUAGGGCUUGGGAGUCUUCAUUUGUUAAUGUUACACAAGAUUUGCAGCUCUCAGCCAAUGAAAAGUUAGAUUUGUUAAUCAAAUGGCUAGGAAAGGAAUCGUCAGAGCAUGUAAAAAAAAUACGAGCCGUUUGUUACAGAUCCUCAAGCUGCUCUUCAGAUGUCUUGGAUGAGACUUCAAGAAUGUUACGCUACUCCAGAGGUAAUUGAAAGUGCCUUAUUUAAGCGAUUGGACAACUUUCCACGUUUAUCUCCAAAGGAUAAUGUGAAACUCAGGGAGUGUCAGAACUUAGAGCCCGCCUCCAAGCUGACAUAUCACAAGGGUGAUUUAUACUUAUAACUGUAACUGUAUUGUCAACUACUUUAACCAAAUCCUUCUAAUUAUACUAUAAUCAAAGUUGUGGAAAUAGUGAGAAAACUCCUCAGACCUGGAUGAGAAUGAGCAAAAACUUCUUUAUUGUAGACAAUCAGUCAUCCAUUCCAUUGAGCUCAGAGAAAACAAAAUCACUAAGUCAAAAAGGCACAACUGAAAAACCCAAAAGGAGCAUUCACUUGUCACCAAAAACUUCUCUCUGGCAGAACAAAAGUUAAAGUAUCAAACGAAAAUGAAGGAGCUGCAGCAUCCAAAAAUGGUUUCACCGUCCAAGCUACCCCACGAAAAACACUCUGAACUUCCCCUCCAAAUUUCCCUCAAUAUAUACCCUGGUGCUGCUAAGCGCCUCCUAUUUUUGAUCCCUCCUACUCUCAGACAGGUUCCCAUGAUGUUUCAAGUUGUUCUCUGGGGCUCCGCCUAAUCAUUUACAUGCUUCUUCCAAAAUCCCCUUAUUUCCCGGAAUUACCUCAUAUGCUCCUUCAGUUACUUCAUAUCCUGCCUUUCUGAAUUCCCCUUACUUUCCAGAAUCAUCACCUGACCCUUGCUCAUAUACCCUUAUAUGGAUUUUCCUCCUUUCUCGAUUUCCUAUUAUUUUCAGCCUUUUUCGUCAUUGUAAUAAAAAAAAAUAUGCUCAAGAGAGCUUUACUUCCUUGUUGUUAUUACAUUUGUUGCUCAGCCUUUUUAUGACAGACACUUCGUGGACUUAUCUUCUCCUCAGCUACAAUGAGUUCUCAGCCUCAGGGUCAGCCAAUUCACCCUGGUCACACCAUCUGGAUUUCUAGGUCUACUCCCUACAAGAGGCCAGUUCCUACUGAGGUCAUGGCCAGUUAUCGCCGCUAUCAGCUGCGUCAUCUUUCACAGGAGUUCUGCUCUUUCCUGGAACGCCUGUCCUCCCUUACACUCCCAGAUCAUCCUCUCUUGCCCUUUAACAUCAUGCAAAUGCCUCUGACUUGCUCUUCUUCUACUCAAACGCCUCUGCCUCCUAUCCUGGUGGAUCAACGGACACAAACAGAUGGUUGUCCUCAUGCUGAACUCUGUUGCCCUAGGCUGACAACUCCUGCCUCUCCUCCACGUAUCCCUUCUCCUCCCAUUGCCUAUAUUCGUCCCCUGGCAGCUCCUACCUCUCCUCCUCUUGUCUCAUCUCCUCAUUUUGGUUACAUUCCCUCUCUCUCUCCUAGUUUGGCAUCUUCUCCCUCUAACUCUGAGCCUGGCUCCCCAGGCUUUGUUCCUUCUUCCCCUUCUCCUAGGCCUGGAUCCCCAGACUAUACUCCCACUUCUCCCAGGCCUGAUAGCUCUGGUUAUUACUAAGUUUGUUUGCAAUAAACCUCUCUUUCUCUUUUAUAUUUCUCCUGAGUCCUGUGUGGUUUAUUUGCAUUAAGUAACUACUUAUUCUUAUUAUGACGUCUGAGCUCUAUACCCAUAUAUCCUAUGAUAUCAAUCAUAAUAAGUCCUUAUGUAUGCUCCUCUGGGGCCCUUUUUAAUACAUUAUAGAAUUUUCACAACAUCAGGAGCUUGCAGAUUUGCUCACAGAAAUACUUGUCGCUAAAGGAGAUGCAUAUUUACCUGGACUGGCUUAUCUUGAUACCCCUCGUGGUAUUAAUCUUAUUGUAGAGAAGUUGCCAGCAAAUCUACAAGAAAAGUGGUUAUUUGCAGGUUCACGAUUCAAAGAUGAAAACGGGUCAGUUUUCCCCCAUUCUCAUUCUUUACCCAUUUCCUUUGUAGUGAAGCUAAAGCUAGGAAUGACCCUAGUUUCAAGCUCUCGAGUAGUACCCAUACUGUCAUUAAAAAUGAAAGACCCCUGUAUAGACAUGGUGAUAGCAGAGUCCCUGUUUCAGUGCAUAAAACAGAUGUAUACACAGAACCUGGAGCAGACUCUACAAAUGUGAAGGAGACAAGUAAGAGAGACCUGACAAAGAGCUGCCCUCUCCAUAACAAACCACAUCCUCUGUCAAAAUGUAGAGCCUUUAGAAAAAUGAUGUUGACUGAGCGCAGGAAUCUUCUAAAAGAACACACAAGAUGUUUCAGGUGUUGCUCUCCAAGUCAUAUGGCCAGAGGCUGUCUUGUGAGCUUAAAAUGUGUAGACUGCGAUUCCGAUAAACAUUGUACUGCCAUGCAUCCUGAUCUAGCUCUGCCUUUCUCCACACCUGCAAAGCAAGAACUGCAUACAACACAACAGGACAAAGUUACAACAGAGGUAACUUCAAGGUGUACAGAAGUUUGUGGAGAAAAUGCUCAAAUGCGAUCCUGUGCGAAAAUUUGUCUGGUGCGUGUAUUUCCUCAUGAGCAACGGGAACAAGCAAUCCUGAUGUAUGUCAUAAUUGAUGACCAGAGCAACCGCUCGUUGGCUAAAGGAGAGUUCUUUCAGCUUUUCAGUAUCCAAGGUAACCCCUUUCCUUAUUUGCUAAGAACAUGUGCUGGCUCCACAGAAAUGUCUGGAAGAAAAGCAGUAGGCUUCCAAAUAGAGACACUGGACAAUAAGACAUGCCUUGAUCUCCCACCACUGAUUGAGUGUAACGAGAUAAUGAGCAGCAGAACUGAAAUUCCCACACCAGAGGUGGCUCUUGCUCAUCCUCACUUGAAAUCUGUGGCACAGUUCAUCCCAAAGCUGGACCCCAAUGCUCAGAUCCUGAUAUUGCUAGGAAGAGACAUGAUCCGUGUACACAAAGUGAGACAACAAAUCAAUGGACCUCAAAAAGCACCCUUUGCACAACGGCUGGACUUAGGCUGGGUGAUUAUAGGUGAUGUUUGCAUCGACAAAGCCCAUAUGCCAACGUUGAAUGUUUUUAAAACUAACAUCUUGGAAAAUGGUCCCCCCUCUCUUCUUACU